RNAcentral lists this ribosomal RNA (673 nucleotides) under uncultured bacterium. RNAcentral describes it as "bacterial SSU rRNA". It matches the Rfam family "Bacterial small subunit ribosomal RNA", at positions 37 to 728 of the family's 1533-position model. The record is from RNAcentral.
GAGUGGCGCUUCUACCAUGCAAGUCGAGCGGGGAACCCCUUCGGGGGUUUCUAGCGGCGGACGGGUGAGUAACGCGUGAGCAACCUUUCCUUCACAGGGGGAUAACGCAGCGAAAGCUGUGCUAAUACCGCUUAAGACCACAAUGUCGCAUGGCAAAGGGGUCAAAGGAGCAAUCCGGUGAAGGGUGGGCUCGCGUCUGAUUAGCUAGUUGGCGGGGUAACAGCCCACCAAGGCGACGAUCAGUAGCCGACCUGAGAGGGUGAUCGGCCACACUGGGACUGAGACACGGCCCAGACUCCUACGGGAGGCAGCAGUGGGGAAUAUUGGGCAAUGGGGGAAACCCUGACCCAGCAACGCCGCGUGAGGGAAGAAGGUUUUCGGAUCGUAAGCCUCUGUCCUCAGGGACGAAGAAAUGACGGUACCUGAAGAGGAAACCCCGGCUAACUACGUGCGCGCAGCCGCGGUAAUACGUAUGGGGCGAGAGUUGUCCGGAAUGAUUGCGCGUAUCGGAGGCCUACGCGGCCUGUUUUUUCAGGCGUAAAAGUCAUGCCUUCGAGGCCGGAUCUGCUUUAUAUGCUGGUUGACAUUUGAGUACUGGAGAGUAGAGUGGACAUCCGAGGGUCGGGUGACGUGGAGAAAUGUAAUGAUGAAAUGCGGAGGCGAAAGCGGCUUG